UAAUUCAAGACAGUUGCAACAGAGGGCAGAAUUGUAUAAGAAAUUUAAACGUCUUUUAUUUCUUGCCUGAAAAUCACUCCCAAAUACAAAUGACAACAAUAUAUGGAUUGAGCUAGAGAAAUACUCUUUUUUGACUCUCUGGUUUUCAAAAUUUACAUAUGAGGAUUAGUUAAAGGCCUUGACUUUCAUUUUUCAUGUGGUAGUUUAAGAUACUUGGUAAUAUAUGUAAACCUUAAUAAAAGCAAAGUGCUGAUCCUUUGAGAGAGAAACAGUGAAAUAUAGAAAAUGUAUUUACUAUUUAACUUGUAUCAAGAUUAAGUGGUAAGCACUCUUUGUUCCUUUCCAAAUAUGCUUUAGGAUUAUUUACUUUUCUUUCCAUUCUAGUGCUGGAAUGCAGACUUUUUGAGGUUACUGCCACUGACAAAUGCCGAUUAUGUUCUUUAUUGCGAGAUUUCUGAAGCUUCUGGGCAAGACCAAUGAAGCAGAAGAGUUAUUCUUGAGUGUUGAGAACAUGUUAGUGCAGGCAGAGUGCUGAACAACCUGGCGAAGUCAGCAUCUAAGGAGUACUUAAAAGAAAAUCAUAUUCUGCAGUGUGCUACUGAAAUGUCCAGCUUACUGUACAGCAACACCUGUGACCAGGCUACCAUGAAAUACGCUGAAGGUGUUCUGAUAUCUGCUGCCAGAAACGCUUCUCUUGCAAAAAUGAAAUUUCAAGAUUGCUUAAAUAUCAGGAGAAGUUUGGUGAGAAAAACACCCUAGUUGGAGAAAUUAUGGAAUUUUUAGCGGAUUUACUGUUUUUCCCACUGAGACAUAGUGAAAGAUUCAAAGGAAGCAAGCAAUUGAAUAUUAUAAACAAGUGAUAAAAAUAAAGGAAAAUGCAGGCACUCUGGCCAACUCCUUGCUCAUCAGGAAGCAGG
This is a long non-coding RNA of Balaenoptera acutorostrata (minke whale), 917 nucleotides long. RefSeq lists it as uncharacterized. Lineage: Eukaryota; Metazoa; Chordata; Mammalia; Artiodactyla; Balaenopteridae. The record is from RefSeq and is a predicted model, not a curated record. The transcript is spliced from 4 exons.